GACAGAGGGCGCAAGCGUUAUUCGAAUUCACUGGGCGUAAAACGUCUGUAGGCGGUUCAUCAAGUCUUAAAGUUAAAUAGGUGAGCUCAACUCGGAUUUGCUUUGGAUACUGAUGAACUAGAGUGCCGGAGGGGGUAUUGGAAUUCCCGGUGUAGUGGUGAAAUACGUAGAUAUCGGGAGGAACUCCAGUGGCGAAAGCGAAUAACUGGGGCGUAACUGACGCUGAGACACGAAAGCGUGGGGAGCAAAAAGG
RNAcentral lists this ribosomal RNA (253 nucleotides) under uncultured bacterium. RNAcentral describes it as "partial 16S ribosomal RNA". It matches the Rfam family "Bacterial small subunit ribosomal RNA", at positions 524 to 776 of the family's 1533-position model. The record is from RNAcentral.